UACAUACUUAAAAAUUAAAAAAUUUGGCAGUAGUUUAAUCUUUUUAGAGGAACCUGUUUUUUGAUCGAUACACCACGAAGAAUCUUACUUACUCUUGUAAAGUUUAGUUUGUAUACCAUCAUUAUCAGAUGAUUCUAAAAGGAGAAAUUAUUGAAUUUAGUUUAUCUAGGGAAAUUAGAUCAUGGUGCAGCUUAUGGGUAAGUUAAAAUGGGUUACAAUAAAUUAAUUUAAAUGGAAUAUAAUAUGAAAAUUUAUAAUGAAGGAGGAUUUAAUUGUAUUGGGGGUUAAACAUAUGCCUUCAAGAAAUAAGCUCUAAAUUAUGUACAUAUCGCCCGUCGCUUUCAUUUAUAAGUGAAAUAAGUCGUAACAUAGUAGGUGCACUGGAAAGUGUACCUAGAAUUAAUA
This 405-nucleotide ribosomal RNA is filed under the name Ocypode stimpsoni. RNAcentral describes it as "partial 12S ribosomal RNA". It matches the Rfam family "Microsporidia small subunit ribosomal RNA", at positions 764 to 1311 of the family's 1311-position model. Lineage: Eukaryota; Metazoa; Arthropoda; Malacostraca; Decapoda; Ocypodidae. The record is from RNAcentral.